CCCAACAAAGAAAGUAACAGAAUGCCACUAGCCGUCACCUUCAGCCCCCAACUAAAACCUCUCCAGUGCAUCAUCAAGGUUCUACAACCUAUCCUGUGAUCCCUCACUGCCACAGAU
Gopherus evgoodei (Goodes thornscrub tortoise) is the source of this 117-nucleotide long non-coding RNA. RefSeq lists it as uncharacterized. Lineage: Eukaryota; Metazoa; Chordata; Testudines; Testudinidae. The record is from RefSeq and is a predicted model, not a curated record. The transcript has 3 exons.